GCUGGGCAUGGUGGCACAUGCCUGUAGUCCCAGCUACUAGGGAGGUUGAGGUGGGAGGAUCACUUGAGCCUGGGAGGUCAAGGCUGCAGUGAGCCAUGAUCAGGCCACUGCACUCCAGCCUGGGCAACAGAGAGAGAGCCUGUCUUUA
Molecule: non-coding RNA, 148 nt
Organism: Gorilla gorilla gorilla (western lowland gorilla)
Lineage: Eukaryota; Metazoa; Chordata; Mammalia; Primates; Hominidae
Rfam family: Metazoan signal recognition particle RNA
About the family: The signal recognition particle (SRP) is a universally conserved ribonucleoprotein. It is involved in the co-translational targeting of proteins to membranes.
Source: Rfam